CAUCCCCUCACCACAGAUGAAUUUCCUUGAAAGGAUACUGCUGCACCCAUCACUGUAAAUGGCACCAGCAAAUAGUUUCUUCCCUGGGUAGGGGGCUGGGGGAAGUGGGAGCAGAGAAGAGGGUGACCGGAGAACCUCAAGGGAAGGUGGGGUAGCAGAGACACCUUGGGCCACUUCAUAUCCGUGCUAUAGGAAGACCGUGUCUAUUUGGAGCCUCCACAAUAAUCCAUCCUCACUCUUUACCAAUGCCCUAACAGCUAGUUCAGAUUUGCCUUGUUUCAAUCAAAUUCCUAGUGGGUCUCGGGCUUCUUAGUAUAGGGGGUGCAGGGGCUGAUUCAGGGCACCAUGAAGAGGGUUUUUGAAAACCAGUUUCCCUCGGCAGGUAGAACCUAAUUCAGAGAAAGGCAAUCU
Molecule: long non-coding RNA, 411 nt
Filed under: Homo sapiens (human)
Lineage: Eukaryota; Metazoa; Chordata; Mammalia; Primates; Hominidae
Description: non-protein coding lnc-CYP26B1-3:1
Source: RNAcentral